This 546-nucleotide ribosomal RNA is filed under the name uncultured bacterium. Its description in RNAcentral is "bacterial SSU rRNA". It matches the Rfam family "Bacterial small subunit ribosomal RNA", at positions 240 to 803 of the family's 1533-position model. The record is from RNAcentral.
AUUAGCUGGUUGGUAGGGUAAUGGCCUACCAAGGCGACGAUCAGUAGCUGGUCUGAGAGGAUGAUCAGCCACAUUGGGACUGAGACACGGCCCAAACUCCUACGGGAGGCAGCAGUGGGGAAUAUUGGACAAUGGGCGCAAGCCUGAUCCAGCCAUGCCGCGUGAGUGAUGACGGCCUUAGGGUUGUAAAGCUCUUUCGCACGCGACGAUAAUGACGGUAGCGUGAGAAGAAGCCCCGGCUAACUUCGUGCCAGCAGCCGCGGUAAUACGAAGGGGGCUAGCGUUGUUCGGAAUCACUGGGCGUAAAGGGCGCGUAGGCGGCUUUGUAAGUCGGGGGUGAAAGCCUGUGGCUCAACCACAGAAUUGCCUUCGAUACUGCAUGGCUUGAGACCGGAAGAGGUUAGUGGAACUGCGAGUGUAGAGGUGAAAUUCGUAGAUAUUCGCAAGAACACCAGUGGCGAAGGCGGCUGACUGGUCCGGAUCUGACGCUGAGGCGCGAAAGCGUGGGGAGCAAACAGGAUUAGAUACCCUGGUAGUCCACGCCGU